CAUACUUCACCACUUUGGGCCUAUACUAACUUCAUCAGCCCAAUAAGACAAAACACAAAAACCCACUUCUCUUGUUGACUCUGUCUUUCUUCUCCUUUGUCGUUGACCUCUCUGUCACGACAUCUUCUUCUUUUUCACUUGCUUCUUCUUUGCUUUGCUUCUUCAUCUUCUGAAGCUUCUUCUUCUCUUUUGCAAGUUCAAUCAAGGAUACAAUUCCAACACUCCCUCUUGGAUCCUUGAUUGAAAUCCCCAAUUCCAAUUUAGGGAUUUGAAUCCCUUUGCUUCUUCUUCUUCUCUGGAAUCGCCUCUUCCCUGUGCGAGUCCCUUUCACGAUCUUUGGCACAGCUCACUAGGACACUUCAACUCUAGGGUUUUCCAUGUCUCCUCAAGUCAUCUUCUACGUGAGCUCUCCUCACGUUCUCAUUUAAUUUCUUCUCCGUGACCACUCGUCACGUCUCUUGCUCGGCUGACAUUGCAACCGGCUUCAGCUCCCACUGUGCUUACGAACCGCUCGGAUUCUCAACCUCAACAAGCAUCUUCAAGCUUCACCUUCACUGUGCCGGACAAGCAAGGAAUUUCGUUUCACAACUCUGUCUCCACCACCGCACUAUCUCCACAGCUUCUUCCAGAGAUCUCCUUGUCUUCUUGGAUGCUCUUGGGGCACCUUCUCUUCAUCUCUCUCACCAACCACUUACUUCAGUGGCUGCAAGAUCUUCAGCUUUGGUGGAGCUUCACACUCAGGUUUGCUCCUUCUCUUCUUCACGGCUUCUUCUUUGCCGACACACCUUCAGCAGCUUCUAGGGCUGCAUCAUCACUUCUUCUUUUUUUUUUUUUUUUUUUUUUUUUUUUUUUUUUUCUUUGCCGUCUUCUUCUCACGGCCAGCUCUCUUCUUCUUUGAUGGCUGUCUCCAUCUUCUUCACAGCUUCUACUUCCUUGGACAUCCUUUGACAGGCUCCAAGAUCAAUUCAAUCAAGGAUACAAUUCCAACAGUUCUUUCGGCGAGGUGAACGGCGUAGAAUCCGACCGAAGCAGCGAAGAGAGAGCGCCACGUGCCGUUUCGAUUCGAAUCUGCUGGAGAAGAACUCGGAGAUUCCUUAGCUUUUCGUGUCGCUCUUCGUCUCCGGUGACGGCAUUCGUAGGCGGAGCUUGUGCGGGUUGAGAUUCGGAUUUGGGGUCGGUGGAGGCUGAGAAGAGACGACAUGAGCAUGAUGCUGAGACAGACUCAGUGAACUUGACGGUGGCGUAACGAGAAGAUUUCGAAACGAGUCUUAAGCGAGUCACCAUCGUUGAGCUGCCGGAGAACUCGGCAAAAUUGAAAGACACCCAAAUCUUAACGUAAUAAAACCUUAUAAAUAAAACAUAUAUUUGGAAAAUUAAUGAAAUUUUGAAAUUA
Arabidopsis lyrata subsp. lyrata is the source of this 1393-nucleotide long non-coding RNA. RefSeq lists it as uncharacterized. The record is from RefSeq and is a predicted model, not a curated record. The transcript has 5 exons. NCBI's taxonomy places the organism in Eukaryota, Viridiplantae, Streptophyta, Magnoliopsida, Brassicales, Brassicaceae.